Molecule: ribosomal RNA, 189 nt
Filed under: uncultured marine bacterium
Lineage: Bacteria
Description: partial 16S ribosomal RNA
Rfam family: Bacterial small subunit ribosomal RNA
Source: RNAcentral
CCUACGGGAGGCAGCAGUGAGGAAUAUUGGACAAUGGAGGCAACUCUGAUCCAGCCAUGCCGCGUGCAGGAAGACUGCCCUAUGGGUUGUAAACUGCUUUUAUACAGGAAGAAAUGUACCUACGUGUAGGUAUUUGACGGUACUGUACGAAUAAGGAUCGGCUAACUCCGUGCCAGCAGCCGCGGUAAU